RNAcentral lists this long non-coding RNA (1359 nucleotides) under Vulpes vulpes (red fox). RNAcentral's name for it is "lncRNA (ENSVVUG00000028135.1)". The record is from RNAcentral. Lineage: Eukaryota; Metazoa; Chordata; Mammalia; Carnivora; Canidae.
CUUGGCUUCUGCCAGGGGCAGGGCUGUGUAUGGGGUCCCCAGCGACCUCCUGUUGAUGCAGUUGAGGACUUUUGAGGUUAAGAUAAGUGUCAGAGCACAGGGCCCUGAUCUCUGAUGAGAGGCCAGUGGAAGGUCUGAGGAGCAUUAGAGUUCUAUGGCUCCAUCCUAUCCUUCAAUCCUCUCGUAAGUGACCAUCAGAAGGAGAAUACUUAAAUCAAUAACGGUACAUACUAUGGAAUGUUCUACAGCCAUCAAAAGCAAUGAAGUGUAUUUAUCUAUUUGUCUCUCAUCUAUGAUCUGACAGAGAAAAAUUGGGAGAGGAGCAGGCCCCAAGCAGCCACGACCUCGUGGAGCCUCGUGACCUCGUCUUCAAAUUCCUGGUGAUCGGCAGAGCGGGAACCAGCAGAUCCCGUGUUCUGCAGCGGCUCAUUGAGAAGAAGUUCAAGCAGGACUCCAAGCGCACAGUCGGCGAGGAGUCUGGACGUCGGCGGUCAGCGCGGGCGGGCAGCGCGUCACGGUCCACACUGGGACGCAGCGGGCCGGCGCUCGGGGUCGUCGACACCGAGUGUUGAAUAACUCUAAGGUGGAGAGGAAAGACUGUGAACCGAUGCCAGGAUCUUCAGUGAAUGAGUAAAGGUGUCAAAGUGUAACCAAAUAGUAUGAAACUUUGAGGAAGAAUCAGGGUUUUUCACCUGAGGUUAAAGGAAGAAUUAUCCGGAGGUUGUAAUGUGGAUGGAAAAGGAUGCCUGUCUUACCUCCUGACUCUUCGGUCCAUGCAUGUAUUGGUAUAAGUCACUUUCACUUGAAAGAGCUGCAAAGGAAGUUCUAUCCUCAUGGAAAAUCCAUGAAUAUUCAGGGAUGAGCUGGAGGAUGGUAGGAGAGUUUGUUAAUCACGGAAUGGUGUUCUAGAAGCCACAGCAGAAACACCUGGAAGUUAAGGUACAAGUGAAAGGUCAGGCGGGGGGAGAAGAAACAGGGAAACAUGGGGAAAGCAGUAACAAUAUAGUAAUUAAUAGUAACAAAAAUAGGGGUGCCUGGCUGGCUCAGUCAGUAGAGCAUGCAACUCUUAGUCUCAAGGUCGUGAGUUGAAGAAACACAUUGGGGGUAGAACUUACUUAAAAAAAAUAACAAUGCUUUGCAUGAAUUAUCUCAUUUAAUCCUCAUAGCAACCUCAUAAAAUAGAGCCUUUAUCCUAUAGAUGAGAAGACAAGCUCAGAGUUCCAGUCACUUGUCCAAGAUUACAUAGUAAAUAAGUUGGAUUGGGUGCUUACAUGUUGUCCAGUGACAGAGGAAAACAAAGAGGUGAAUGAGCAUGUGAGUUUGACAUAUCACAAGUUUGGCAGGAUGGUUAGUCCUAAC